Molecule: ribosomal RNA, 385 nt
Filed under: uncultured bacterium
Lineage: Bacteria
Description: bacterial SSU rRNA
Rfam family: Bacterial small subunit ribosomal RNA
Source: RNAcentral
AUUGAACGCUGGCGGAAUGCUUUACACAUGCAAGUCGAACGGCAGCACGGGGCAACCUGGUGGCGAGUGGCGAACGGGUGAGUAAUAUAUCGGAACGUGCCCAAUCGUGGGGGAUAACGUAGCGAAAGUUACGCUAAUACCGCAUACGAUCUACGGAUGAAAGCGGGGGAUCGCAAGACCUCGCGCGAAUGGAGCGGCCGAUAUCAGAUUAGGUAGUUGGUGGGGUAAAGGCUCACCAAGCCAACGAUCUGUAGCUGGUCUGAGAGGACGACCAGCCACACUGGAACUGAGACACGGUCUAGACUCCUACGGGAGGCAGCAGUGGGGAAUUUUGGACAAUGGGCGAAAGCCUGAUCCAGCCAUGCCGCGUGAGUGAAGAAGGCCU